This is a non-coding RNA of Pantherophis guttatus, 436 nucleotides long. The record is from RefSeq and is a predicted model, not a curated record. Lineage: Eukaryota; Metazoa; Chordata; Lepidosauria; Squamata; Colubridae.
ACAAUUUGAACAUUUAUAUGAUUUUUCUCCAGUGUGCAUUCGUUGAUGCUUCGAAAGAGUAUCUUUCUGAGAAAAACAUUGACCACACUCCGAGCAUUUAAAGGGCUUCUCUCCUGAAUGGAUUUGGCUGUGACUUGUAAGAAGUAUAGCCAGGAGCACAAACAGGCUGAGGAACAGUUUUUAUCCGUGGGCUGUCAAGACUCCUGAAUGAGAAAUAACACCAUAACUACGUAGUAUGAUGGACUGCAGGGCCGGCGCAAUGUGUAACAUGUUCACACUGGUGCAAUAGGACUGGGUGUUUUGUUAAUAUGAUUUAUUGGGUUAGGGAUUUUUUGUCUUCACUGUGAGUUGUAUUGUGUUGGGGAGGUGCACUGAGGGAACUCAGCCAAUCUCACUGUACAUAUGUUGUGCGCUGACAAUAAAGAUUUGAAUUGAA